This 4986-nucleotide long non-coding RNA is filed under the name Sus scrofa (pig). Its description in RNAcentral is "lncRNA (ENSSSCG00065012059.1)". Lineage: Eukaryota; Metazoa; Chordata; Mammalia; Artiodactyla; Suidae. The record is from RNAcentral.
UACCUCAUAUAAGUAGAAUCAUACAACAUUCGUCAUUUUGUGACUUUUCUUCACUUAGCAUGUUGUGAAGGCUCAUUUAUACUGCAGUAUGUAGAAUUUCCUUUCUUUUUUUUUUUGUAAAAUGCUGAACAACAUUUGAUUGUAUUUAUAUACCAUUUUGUUUAUCCAGGCAUCCAUCAAUGAAUGCUUGAGGUGUUUCAUUUUGAUUUUUUAACCAUAUUAUAACCCUGAAGUCAUAUACAAUAAAGAUGAAAGAACCUUAUAUCACCAGCAUUAAAAAAAAACAGACCACAUUCUGAUCCUUAAAAUAUAUCAUAAUAAAAAAAAAGAGACAGAGAAAAAGAGAUUAAAAAAAAAAAAGAAAAAGAAAUGUCUGUAUGUUGCCAGCAUGAAGAGACUUAGUUAUUCAUUCAAAAAUCAAAGUGGAAGAGAUAUGAUUUAAAGAUUCUAGGAAGUUAUUAUGUGACUAUUGUAAAAAUAAUGGAGUUUUAUACAAUGUCUAUAUUCUAAUAAUGGAUGAUAUCAUGCCCACAUUUUUCACCUUUCUUCUCUCUAUAUUCUCUUCUUGCUUUUAUUUCUGUACCUCUCUUAGGAUGUCUGCCCUCCCCCCCAUGCACUUUUCAAAUAUCUUAAAUCAUCUCUAGCAAAAAGCCUGGCACAAGUACAAUUAUCUGUCCACUCUGAUACUGCCUUCUUUAUUCUACAAACACGCAUUAAUGACUAUGUGGGAAGAGCUGCUGUGUGAGUAAUCAGGGUUAAGAGCUAUUACUUGUUUGACUCUCUUGUGCAUGUCACAUACAUUGAGAAGCACAAUUUCUCAUCUAUAUAUUCACUGAUGUCUUUGUGUGUCUUAGGCCCUUUCUGUCUCCUCUGCAACGUCUCACAUAAGACUGGGCACCCAGUUAAUGCCCAGUACAUACUUAGCGAUGAUUGACAGUAUGUUUUUUUCAGCACAGGUUCACAUGCACCUCUCUAGUAAACAGACAGCAUACUCUGCUGCAAGCUGUGUAAAAAAAAAAAAAAAAACCUAGUCGGUUAACUUAUGUGAUGGUAACAGAAUGGUUUAGCUCUGAGGAGCCAUAUUCGUUAUGUAAGCACAAACUUGAAUAUCAUUUCUAAAAUCUAGAGAUUAUGAGCAGAUUGUAAGUGGUUCACAGCAGGAUCUACAUCUUUAGAUGCUUUGACCAGAUCUUGAACUACAGGAAAAGACCCUCAAAUCUGAUGCCCUUUGACCUGGCUAUCUCAGUCAUCACAUCUUUGGUGUUCAACUCCACCCCAAUCAGCUGAGGGUAAAUAACCCAGCACUAGGACUCCUCUUCAUAGAAAAGGCAGGGGGCACCCUGAAGCCAAGCUCUGGGUACAGAAUGGGUUAAAACUGUGGCUAUUUAAAGUUCCACUCACAUUUAUUCACACAUACACCUCCUGGAGAAUUCCCAGGCUUCUGUCUAUUUCUCUUAGGUCCCUCUGUAGAGAGUGCAACAGGAGAGAUGCAUGCUGCCAGAAGUCAGAACAACCCAGCUGAUUUCGUGUCUGCCACGCUCAAGCUCUCUGAAUUUAGUUCCUGUUCUCCUCCAGCCUGAGAACUGGUUUCCUCCUGAAAAUAAGUUCAGUAAGUCUUUCUAAUCUUUUUUGAAGUCAUGCAAAAUGAAAGGUGAUAAUGAUGCAAAACUUCGUUCUAACCUGUGAAGGUCUGUAUGCACAUAUUGUCUAUGAAGCAAAUACUUACAGUAUGGAAAUGACAGGUAGGAGAUACUACAGAUUUUACAUAUACAGAUUUACAUGUACAGAUUUUAAAUAUUUUUUCCAGUCCACCAACAUUUGAUCUCAUGUUCUUGUCUGAACAGCCUCCAGUUGCCAAAAAAAUUCUAGGUCCCUAGGGUGGUUAGAGGCAUAGAGCAUGGCAGGAAAACUAUGGGAAGCCUAGAGAUCUACAGUGUGAGUGCCUCUUGAUAGUAACCUGUGCAAAGGGUCAGAUAGGGCUUGUGGAUGAGUGUCACUGAUAUUCAGUAACAGGUGGCAUGCACUGAACACGUACAAGCGCCAAACACUGUAAUCAUAAUGACAGGAAAUGUUUAUUAGACCCUAGUUUGUAUCAGGCACUCCCCUAAUCACUUUAUGUACAUCAUUUCAUCAUAGCUGUUCUAAUAGUCAGUGAAUAUGAAUACACUAAUUUAUUUAUUUAAUUUUUAAAAUUUUACUUUAUGGCCACAUCCACAGCAUAUGGAAGCUCCCAUAUGAAUACGAGCAUAUUGAAUCUGAGGCACAGUUGGGACCUAUGCUACAGCUGCAGCAACCCUAGAUCUUUUAAGCUACUGCACCAGGCCGGGGAUGGAACCCACACCUCUGCAGCAACCCUGAACCGUUGCAGUCAGAUUCUUCCCAGUGCACCAUGGCGGGAACUCCUUAAUAUUCUAUUUUUACAUACAUGGAUACCAAGGAAUAGAGAAGUUGAGAAACUUGUCCCAAUUCCCUUAGCUAGAAUGUGGCAGAGCCAGAAUUCCAAACCAGGCACUUGGAUUUCAGAAACUAUGCUAAACAUUAUUCUCUUCCCAAGAUAACAACAAGGCAAAGCAGAAGCCUGGCUGAGUGAGGAAUGGAUAAAAAGUCUGCAAAACAGCAGCUGCUGAGUAUUUCCAUCUUCUGCUCUAAAUCCUGAGUGUAGGAACUUACAGCCAAGAGAAAGAAAUUCUUAGAAACGUACUAGGAUUUUCCUGAAGAGAGGGAAGACUGGUAGUGACACAACAAAUGAGUAUGUCAAGGCUCUCUGGCGUUAAAUUCACUAGCAGGAGCCGAAGCUCUUAUCCUCUGGUAGACAUGACUAGCUAAGGUAAAUGAGCUUAAAGAGAAAUAUAAGAAGUCAUCUGAGUACAAUGUUUAAACAGGAUGGCAACAUAUAAACGAUGUAUACUCUGUGAUUCAGAACAGAUGGAAUUCAGAGGUCACCAUUUUAAAACCUAAUACAGCAGUUCCCAUUGUGGCUCAGUGGUUAACGAAUCCAACUAGGAACCAUGAGGUUGCGGGUUCGAUCCCUGGCCUUGCUCAGUGGGUUAAGGAUCUGGCGUUGCCGUGAGCUGUGGUUUAGGUCGCAGACGCGGCUCAAAUCCGGCCUUGCUGUGGCUCUGGUGUAGGCCGGUGGCUACACCUCCAAUUAGACCCCUAGCCUGGGAACCUCCACAUGCCAUGGGAGUGGCCCUAGAAGUGACAAAAGAAAAAGAAAAAAAAAAAAAAACUAAUACAAUAAACAUCUUCAAAAAGGUAGGAUAGGAUAUGUUGAGGAUGUUAGGCAGCAACAAGCAAUUACUGAGAAAUAUAUUUACUGGAUAUAAUAAUAUAAAAAUAUUUAAAAAUUAAAAGAGAUAGAUAAUUAACAGAAUUGAUAGAGCCAUAAAUUAAAUUAGUCAACAGAAAGAUCAGUCCAGGAAUUUAUUUAGAAAGGAUCAGAAAGUCAUUAAUAAUCGAAAAACAUUAAAAAGAAGUUAAUAAACACAGAUAAUAAAAACAUAGUGUCAUCAACCAUUUAUAACAGUACUACAAAGAAUGAAAACAAAUAAAUGAAGAAGUGAAAAUAGAUAAAAUAAUAAUCCACAAGAAUUUCUCAAGCUUUAAAAAUAUGAACACAUAAGAUAAAGCACCUUGGAAUAUACAAAAUAGAUAAGGAAAGCCCCAUACAUGUUCAUUAUAGGGAAAUUUAAGAAAAUAUUCUAAAUGCUUCUAGAGAGAGAAGCUAUGUUAAAGAGAAAGCUGUCAGAUUUCUACCUGAUUUUUCCAUAUCAACACUAGAAGUAAGAUGACAGAAGGCUAACAUUUUCAAAGUGUUUAAAAUAACUUCAACUCUCUACCAAUUUUUUGAAAAAAAAAAAAUUAGAGUACAGAUGAUUUUCUGAGCAAUAAAACCUUUCUUUGAAAGCACCAAGAAAUUAACCCUACACUAUGCUGUGUAAAAUUUGGGUAAUGAGUGUAACAAAAUAUUUUAGUCCAAAAAUGAAUAUGAUGAAAACUUAGAGGAGGUGAUGAUAAAAAUAGAUAAGGGUUUACUAAUCAUGUGGGACAUCUACUCCAUCUCUCCAUCUUUUUCAUUUUCCUAGCUAGUGAAUAACAAUUUAAAGAAAUUGCUUUCUUCCUGUAACCAUUUAAAGGCAAAAUCUGCCCAGAAGUGUUGCCAGGUGCUAUGGGAACCAAGAGGAAUACUUAACAGAGGAUGGAGGCUACACGAGCCUUUCUACUGCUAUAUAACCAUUGCCACAAACUUAGAGGCUUAAAACAGCAUACAUUCAUUAUUUCCCAGUUUCUCCAGGUCAGAAGGGUAGACAUAGCUUAACUGGGUCCUCUGCUUUAGAUGCUCAUCAGGCAGCAAGCCAGAGUUAACUGGGACUGUGGUCUUAUCAGAGGUUUGACUGAAGAAAGAUAUGUUUCCAAUCCCCCUCAGGUUGUUGGCAGAAUUUACCUCCUAAAGCUGUAGGACUGAGCUUCCCAUUUUCUUCCUGGCUGUCGGCAAAGGCAGAUUUCCACUCCUAGAGCCCACCUGUGAUUCCUAGUCAUGUGGCCUUUUCCACAGGCAAUUCACAAUGUAUCUGCUUGUUUCUUCAAAACUAGAAGGAGAAUCUCUCCCUCCAGUGUGCAAAGAUGAAGUCAUAUAUAGAAAAACAGAAGCAUGGGGGUCACAGUUCAUCAUCUUUUCCUUGGUCUCUUACUUAGAAGCAAGUCACAGAUUCUGCCAUCACUGAAGAGUAGGGGAUUAUAAAAGAGUAUGGCUUACAGUUGGUGACCUAAAGGUGUGCCCCCCACACUAGUGCUUUUCAACUCAGAGUUUGUUUCUUUCCCUAGUAGGUAGUCAAAGUAGGCUAAAACUUACAUCUGUCUGUUAUCACCAAAGAUAACUAACAUCCAUUAAAAUAUGAACUGACAUGCCUAAUUUUCACACACCUACAGGGUAUAAUCAUUAUACAAGAAAGACCGCAAACUAAACAUGAAGCAGAAUUACUGGCA